This 490-nucleotide ribosomal RNA is filed under the name Halomonas sp. M17-C3. Its description in RNAcentral is "bacterial SSU rRNA". It matches the Rfam family "Bacterial small subunit ribosomal RNA", at positions 1 to 493 of the family's 1533-position model. The record is from RNAcentral. Lineage: Bacteria; Pseudomonadati; Pseudomonadota; Gammaproteobacteria; Oceanospirillales; Halomonadaceae.
UUGAGCUUGAUCCUGGCUCAGAUUGAACGCUGGCGGCAGGCCUAACACAUGCAAGUCGAGCGGAAACGAUGGAAGCUUGCUUCCAGGCGUCGAGCGGCGGACGGGUGAGUAAUGCAUGGGAAUCUGCCCGAUAGUGGGGGAUAACCUGGGGAAACCCAGGCUAAUACCGCAUACGUCCUACGGGAGAAAGCAGGGGAUCUUCGGACCUUGCGCUAUCGGAUGAGCCCAUGUCGGAUUAGCUUGUUGGUGAGGUAAUGGCUCACCAAGGCGACGAUCCGUAGCUGGUCUGAGAGGAUGAUCAGCCACAUCGGGACUGAGACACGGCCCGAACUCCUACGGGAGGCAGCAGUGGGGAAUAUUGGACAAUGGGCGAAAGCCUGAUCCAGCCAUGCCGCGUGUGUGAAGAAGGCCCUCGGGUUGUAAAGCACUUUCAGUGGGGAAGAAAGCCUUGGGAUUAAUACUCCCGAGGAAGGACUCACCCCAGAAGAGC